RNAcentral lists this ribosomal RNA (133 nucleotides) under uncultured bacterium. Its description in RNAcentral is "partial 16S ribosomal RNA". The record is from RNAcentral.
UAGGUUACGUCAAGACUCACGGUUAUUAACCGUAGGCUUUUCUUCUCUACUGAAAGUGCUUUACAACCCGCAGGCCUUCUUCACGCACGCGGCAUUGCUGGAUCAGGCUUGCGCCCAUUGUCCAAUAUUCCCC